AAUAUUUUAAUUAGGACGUAAAAUGGCAUUAUUAUAAUUUACAAUGCAGUAGUGAACGAAUGAUUCUGCCAGAUAGAUGUGACGGAAAAUUACAAAUCAAGACACUACACGGGUAAUCGGUCAAAUUCGGAUCUGAUUCUUUUACUUCGGAUCUCGUCUACAUCCCCAAUUCUUUUCCGAAUUUGUAUUAUGGCGAGAGAGCGAUUUUAGUCGAUAAGCAAACCUCGUAAGUCGUAAAUGAGGAACCCGAGAAACCAGUCUCCGAGGCGUAUGCUCUGUUUCCGGCGAAAAAGAAGUCAUGAUAAAUUAUUACACUUCACCCUGGAGGGGGGGUGCCGGGAAACUGACCAAAAAGGUAAGAAUCGUAUUUCGGUGUAAAUUAUUUCAGAUCGGACGGUUCUAAUUUAUUUUAAAGCUUUAUGAUGAAUUAUAGCCAUCGAUUUCAGAAUCUACGAAACUAAGAGCCUUUUGAAGCUUUUUGCUGCUGAACACUUCGACCUCCGCCAAGUACACCGCCGUCACGGGUCUAUGAUCCGAUAAACUCAACUCACUUCUUCCGUACUUCAAAAGUUUCAUGUCUUUACCAUAU
RNAcentral lists this long non-coding RNA (589 nucleotides) under Zostera marina. RNAcentral's name for it is "long non-coding RNA (ZMAR_LNC006183)". The record is from RNAcentral. Lineage: Eukaryota; Viridiplantae; Streptophyta; Magnoliopsida; Alismatales; Zosteraceae.